RNAcentral lists this non-coding RNA (90 nucleotides) under Favella ehrenbergii. The record is from RNAcentral. Lineage: Eukaryota; Ciliophora; Spirotrichea; Tintinnida; Xystonellidae.
CAAACUGGUCACUUUAAGGGAAGUCAGCCAGCAGAUGAUCGAUCGACUCUCGGGUGGGCUCAAUGAAAUAGAUCACAUCAGUCAUGGGGU